This 482-nucleotide ribosomal RNA is filed under the name uncultured bacterium. RNAcentral's name for it is "bacterial SSU rRNA". It matches the Rfam family "Bacterial small subunit ribosomal RNA", at positions 903 to 1397 of the family's 1533-position model. The record is from RNAcentral.
AAAUGAAUUGACGGGUCCCCGCACAAGCAGCGGAGCGUGUGGUUUAAUUCGAGGCUACGCGAAGAACCUUACCAGGGUUUGACAUGCUAGUGGUAGUGAUACGAAAGUUGAACGACCCUUCGGGGAGCUAGCACAGGUGCUGCAUGGCUGUCGUCAGCUCGUGCCGUGAGGUGUCAGGUUAAGUCCUGUAACGAGCGCAACCCUCGUCGUUAGUUACAAGUGUCUAACGAGACUGCCGGUGAUAAGCCGGAGGAAGGUGAGGCUGAAGUCAAGUCAGCAUGGCCUUUAUAUCCUGGGCUACACACACGCUACAAUGGCCGGUACAGUGGGUUGCCAAAUCGCGAGAUGGAGCCAAUCCCCCAAAGCCGGUCUCAGUUCGGAUUGCAGGCUGCAACUCGCCUGCAUGAAGUCGGAGUUGCUAGUAACCGCGCGUCAGCCACAGUGCGGUGAAUACGUUCCCGGGGAUUGUACACACCGCCCGU